This 468-nucleotide ribosomal RNA is filed under the name uncultured bacterium. Its description in RNAcentral is "partial 16S ribosomal RNA". It matches the Rfam family "Bacterial small subunit ribosomal RNA", at positions 28 to 507 of the family's 1533-position model. The record is from RNAcentral.
GACGAACGCUGGCGGCGUGCUUAACACAUGCAAGUCGAACGGAAAGGCCCUGCUUUUGUGGGGUGCUCGAGUGGCGAACGGGUGAGUAACACGUGAGUAACCUGCCCUUGACUUUGGGAUAACUUCAGGAAACUGGGGCUAAUACCGGAUAGGAGCUCCUGCUGCAUGGUGGGGGUUGGAAAGUUUCGGCGGUUGGGGAUGGACUCGCGCCUUAUCAGCUUGUUGGUGGGGUAGUGGCUUACCAAGGCUUUGACGGGUAGCCGGCCUGAGAGGGUCACCGGACACAUUGGGGCUGAGAUACGGCCCAGACUCCUACGGGAGGCAGCAGUGGGGAAUAUUGCACAAUGGGCGGAAGCCUGAUGCGACAACGCCGCGUGCGGGAUGACGGCCUUCGGGUUGUAAACCGCUUUCGCCUGUGACGAAGCGUGAGUGACGGUAAUGGGUAAAGAAGCACCGGCUAACUACGUG